This is a long non-coding RNA of Schistocerca gregaria, 501 nucleotides long. RefSeq lists it as uncharacterized. Lineage: Eukaryota; Metazoa; Arthropoda; Insecta; Orthoptera; Acrididae. The record is from RefSeq and is a predicted model, not a curated record. The transcript has 2 exons.
GUGCCCGGUAUUCACUGAGCGGAGAGCCAGAGCGUCUAAUACGAUGAACAAAAGGAUUCUGUUUUUCGGUGCUGCAUACCUGCUGGUAACUGAGAUGGUGGUGGUCCAUGGCGUCAUCCUUGGUGGCCCGCCAUUUUCGCAGCAUAACCCGUACAACCCUUUCUACCGCAACCCAGAGGGUCAGUACGUUGAACGGGGUGGCCAACAAGACGAUCAGCAGCAGGAAGGCAACCCUCAAGUUACGUAUCCUCAAACGACUUAUCCUCAGUUGGCGUAUUCUGCAGCGACUUAUCCUCGGGUGGCUUAUUCUCAAGCUAUUUACCCUCAAGUUUCGUAUCCUCAAGCUACUUAUCCGCAACUUUACUAUACAGGGUAAGCAGUAUUGGAACGCAUAUGCUGAAAUGUAAAUUCCAUUCAGUGGGGAUCUCCUGUUCCGCAUAAGUAUGAUACAAAUUUUUGUGCUGUAUUCAGAUGAGUGAAUAAAAAAAUUGAUAUAUUUUG